GACGAACGCUGGCGGCGUGCCUAAUACAUGCAAGUAGAACGCUGAAGGAGGAGCUUGCUUCUCUGGAUGAGUUGCGAACGGGUGAGUAACGCGUAGGUAACCUGCCUGGUAGGGGGGGAUAACUAUUGGAAACGAUAGCUAAUACCGCAUAAGAGUAGAUGUUGCAGGACAUUUGCUUAAAAGGUGCAAUUGAAUCACUACCAGAUGGACCUGCGUUGUAUUAGCGAGUUGGUGGGGUAACGGCGCACCAAGGCGACGAUACAUAGCCGACCUGAGAGGGUGGUCGGCCACACUUGGACUGAGACCCCGCCCCGACCCCUUCGGGAGGCAGCCGUAGGGGAUCUUCGGCAAUGGACGGAAGUCUGACCGAGCCACGCCGCGUGAGUGGAGAAGGGUUUCGGAUCGUAAAGCCCUGUUGUAAGGGAAGAACGGGUGUGAGAGUGGAACGUUCACACUGUGACGGUAUCUUAACAGAAAGCGACGGCUAACUACGUG
Molecule: ribosomal RNA, 495 nt
Filed under: uncultured bacterium
Lineage: Bacteria
Description: partial 16S ribosomal RNA
Rfam family: Bacterial small subunit ribosomal RNA
Source: RNAcentral